Molecule: long non-coding RNA, 1572 nt
Filed under: Homo sapiens (human)
Lineage: Eukaryota; Metazoa; Chordata; Mammalia; Primates; Hominidae
Description: HSALNT0059689
Source: RNAcentral
GCGGGGCCAGGGCCGCGGGGCGGAGCCGGGACAGGGUCCACGGCAGCCGCCAUCUUGGCUGAGGGCAAAGACGCUCCUGGCGCUCCCGUCUUUCGGCUUGCCUCAGUUGCCACUGCCAUCUUGGAUCAGGGGCGGUUGACGGUGGAUUCACUUCCCAUCAGCCCUUGAGGCUGCAGGGACCAGCCCUUUGUACAGUGGAGAAGCCCAGGCGGCCUAGAAUCCAGUGUCGUCCGUGAGUGCUUGGCUGGUGUUCAAGUGCAUCUUCCAGCCUGAGACCGCGUGGACUCGCUCAUCGUGAGGGCGAGAGGAGGAUAAGCCCAUUGGGCUGUCGGCUGAGAGUGAGGUGCGGGCAGAUUGCUGAUGAAAUCCUUGGCAUCGUCGGAGAUCUCAUCGAAUGCCUCGUCGUCGAAGUCCCAGGUGGCUGAGGUAACGUUGGCCAAGGUUUCGUUAUCGUUGUCUCCCAUGAAGGGGGAAAGGCCACUGACUCUGGAGAGACAAGAGCAGGACAGCAGGUGUGGCUAGGAGAGGGCGCGACGACCAGAUGAGGGAAUUGAGGCACAGCCCAGGCUCAAGUCACCUGCCCAAAGAUUCACAGCCAGUGAGAUUGGAAGCCAGGUAUCUGCCUCUAGAGCCUGUCCUCUUAAAUGCUAUACUAUCCUAACAUUUCUGUAAAGAUGAAGUAAAUUGCAGUGUUCAGCACUGGCACCAGGCCUGGUCCACAGUAAGGAGGCGGUCCAUGCCCGGAGAUCUCAUGCAGUUCUGCUGGGUUCCCUCCACUGCCUUACCAAGCUGUGAGUGCAGGAAUGACUUUGUGACCAGCAGCUUAAGCCAAAUAAACUUUAUAAGGUAAAGAAUUUCAAAACAAAAUAGAGCAGAUUUGUGGCUUACUGACCUUACCUCUCACCUCUGUGCACCUCACCUUCAUAGCAACAACUCACCCCACUGUUCAUGAGGGCCUUGUGAGUCAGCCUCAUGGGUGUUAGACCAGCACAGUUGCCCACAGUCCCACCCUUAGACAGGCCCUGUGCUUGGUUUAAUGCUCUGCUGCUGUCGUCUCAAGAUUCUCAAUAAGGUUUGAACAAGUGGCCCCACCUUUCAUGUUGCAAAUUGUGUAGCUGUUCCUGCCCUGAUCUCAGCUGAGCCCCAUGAGAUGGGUCUGGGGGCCAGGCGUGGUGGCUCAUGCCUGUAAUCCCAGCACUUUGGGAGGCCAAAAUGGAUGGAUCACCUGAGGUCAGGAGUUUGAGGCUAGCCUGGCCAACACGGUGAAGUCCUGUCUCUACUAAAAAUACAAAAAUUAGCUGGGCAUGGUGGCAAGCACCUGUAAUCCCAGCUACUCGGGAGGCUGAGGCAGGAGAAUUGCUUGAACCCUGGAGGUGGAGGUUGCAGUGAGCCAAUAUCGCACCAUUGCACUCCAACCUGGGCAACAAGCGAAACUCAAUCUCAAAAAAAAAAAAAAAAAGAGAGAUGGGUCUGGGGCCCUCCUGCCAUCAACCUGUCAAGUUAGGGCUUUACCAAUGUCCCUUCUCCCAAAUGCUUAUGAAUCCAUCAUCAUAAGCCAAGCACUGACAGCUU